UUAUUUAGUUUUAAUGCAUUAAGCUGUAUUUUAACUUGUGUGUUGUAGGUGAGGCCAGUGAAUGGAGAAACAUGGUCUUUUGAAGCGAUCAGCUGGUUCAAGAGUAAAGUGCAGAACAAGACUCUUUAUGCCAGGCUUUACCCAGAAGAAGGAGAAGUUUUGGUUGAACUCUUCAUGGAGAAGGGAAAGAUUGGUGCUAUGAGGAGAGGAGACUCUCUGUCUGUGAGACUUGCUCAGAAUAGAUUUGCUGUUCAUGAACGUAACAAACCCAGGGGCCUGAAGAGAAGAAGAAUGUGGACUGUGCGCUUCAUAUUUUCCACAAAGAGAGUGAAUGCACAGAUGAUGACAGUUGAAAAGGACAUAUUCACAUUGUUACUGUACUCAGCCUACUCUACAGUUCCUGAUUCAUGCACAGACCUUUCUCUCCCUCGUAUCCAGCAGACCGCUGACGUGUGGAGUGGAGAAGUGACGCCUGAAGUUGCAUUGCUGGAAAAAACAGUUGUGUUUAGAGAUGAGGAACAUUAUGAAAACUGAAUUUAAGGAGUAAACAUUAACACUUGAGGAGCCAUAAACUAUCUCAAGGGCCAAAAUGUGAAAACCCUGGUUUAUAACUGCAUCUGUCUUCUCAAACUGCAGCAUAUGGGUGUCUGUUGACAUGUAUAGUCUGUUUUGGUUUUGUUUUCUCUGUUUCCUAUGUUAAUUUCCCAGUCAUCGUUAGUUUCCUUUGUUGUCAAUUAACACACCUGUUCUGUUUUCUGUUGAUGAUACUCUGUGUUUAAGCCUUCAGCUCAUGGUUUUCAUGUUGUUUCAGUUUAUGUGGUUUGCUAUUUCUCCUAAAUGUUUGUAAUUCUGAAUAAAGACUGUUUGUGGUGCUACUCCUUCGUUGUGUUGUGUGUGCUGCAGAACACGUUACAGUGGCUUUGGGCUGUUUAAAAAAUAGUAUUCUAAAAAAAAAAAAAAAUUUUGAAAAGCAACCAAUAAAGUUUUUUUUUCUUCUUUUUAUGCCUCAAAUGUUGUUCUGCUUGUCAAACUGAUCACUUGAAUGACA
Molecule: long non-coding RNA, 1048 nt
Filed under: Sinocyclocheilus anshuiensis
Lineage: Eukaryota; Metazoa; Chordata; Actinopteri; Cypriniformes; Cyprinidae
Description: lncRNA (ENSSANG00000013150.1)
Source: RNAcentral